Long non-coding RNA from Fukomys damarensis (Damara mole-rat), 497 nucleotides. RefSeq lists it as uncharacterized. The record is from RefSeq and is a predicted model, not a curated record. The transcript has 3 exons. NCBI's taxonomy places the organism in Eukaryota, Metazoa, Chordata, Mammalia, Rodentia, Bathyergidae.
UUUUCUAUUUAGAAAAAUGCCCUGAAUGUCCCUGAAGUUUUCAAUCCCAGUUCCCUUUUCUCGGCCAUCUUUGAAGCAGUUUCAUUUCUUAAACUGAUGCUACAGGGGAAUCUUCCUCUGAGGGCCCAGGCCUGCUAAGCUUCAGGAAAUGUGUGUGUGGGAGCAAUGGAUGGGGAUAUUUACUCCAGCGACAAUUGCAGAAGUGACAGGAGCAUGGGGCAGGCUGGGGAAUGCCGAGGCUAGGGUUUACUAGAGAGCGCGUGUGCCACACCAUACCAUGUGCUGGGGACGCAAACACAUGUCAGCGUCAGAGAGAUCAACGGGGACCCUGUCUACUGCUGUCCUGCGGCACACACCACUGCCUGGCCAGCACCAAUGCUCAGCAACUCUGAAGGACACAUAACAAGGGGCCCUCAAAAGACACGACUGUGGAUUCUCGGAAGCCAGCAUCUGAAACCUGAGGCGUUGGCUUUGUCCCCAGGUGGUGGAUACUGCCC